Molecule: long non-coding RNA, 795 nt
Filed under: Canis lupus familiaris (dog)
Lineage: Eukaryota; Metazoa; Chordata; Mammalia; Carnivora; Canidae
Description: lncRNA (ENSCAFG00030022313.1)
Source: RNAcentral
AGUAGAAGGAAUGGAAUAACAUUAAUUGCAAAAUACAAACUAUAAGACUUUUCCAAGGAUAACAACAUUGCAGAAAUUCUAGAUUGCUUUGGGUUUGGUGAUGAUUUUUUAGAUAUAACACCAAAAGCACAAUCCAUGAAAGAAAAAAAAUUUAAUAAGUUAGACUUCAUUAAAAUUAAAAUCUUCAGCUUUGUCACAGAUACUGCAAAGAGAAUGUAAAGAUAUCCACUUCCUGAGAGAAAAUCUUUGCAAAAACAUACCUGAUAAAGGAUUGGUAUCCAAAAUAUUCUAAGAACUUUAAAAAUUCAACAAUAAGACAACAGAGAAUCCAAUUAAAAAAUGGGUCAAAGGUUUGAACAGAAUUCGUCAUUGCUGGUAGUGGUGUGUGUGUGUGUGUGGGGGGGGGGUGGUUCUUUUCUCUAAAAAGGCUUUCUUCUUUAUUAAAAAAUGAUGCAAAUAAGGACCAUUCUUCCCCAGGUCUUGGAUAUUGCUGUAUGAAGAGGAGAUGCUCAGACCUUUUCCAUCUGCCUUGCAGUCAUGAGGAGACAACUAUUGUAAAUGUUCCAUGAAUUUUAAUCUGCUGCAGCUGUCACUUGCAGUCGCGCCAUUUUAAACAGACUGUUUCAUCUGUGACUCCACAUUUUCACCAUCGCCAGCAAGAAGCUCUGAGCAGCCUGUGGUCAUCAUGGAUGGUAACAGUCACACAUAUCAGAGUUUGAAAGGAUGAAGCGUCUUUAAAGUGAAGGUCUGACUUGUCCGUCCUUGGAUAGAAGUAAUGCAAGCGUUCAUCUCUGG